Cololabis saira (Pacific saury) is the source of this 187-nucleotide long non-coding RNA. RefSeq lists it as uncharacterized. The record is from RefSeq and is a predicted model, not a curated record. The transcript is spliced from 3 exons. Lineage: Eukaryota; Metazoa; Chordata; Actinopteri; Beloniformes; Belonidae.
AGGCAGAGACGAACAUUUUACAUUCAGUCUCAGAAGACAAAGGUGCAACCCAACCCUCCACUGUACAGCUCUCAGGACCAGAGCCUGUCUUCUCCAGACUACAAGAUGAGAACUGCAGUAUGUGCCAUCCUUCUCCUGAUGCUUCUGUGUCAAGGAGAAGCUCUGAGAUGCAACGUCUGCGCCCCAG